Molecule: long non-coding RNA, 1430 nt
Organism: Zophobas morio
Lineage: Eukaryota; Metazoa; Arthropoda; Insecta; Coleoptera; Tenebrionidae
Exons: 2
Source: RefSeq, a predicted model, not a curated record
AUUUUUCGUCUUCCGCUUGGAUGUAAUCCGCAUUGUUACUAAAAAUAAGUACGCCACUGAACCAACCUUGCCCAACAGGCUCCGCAGGAUCGUGAAUGCCGAAGACUUCUAAGAAUAACGACACAAAUGCGAUCCAAGACAUGUGAGUCGUGUAUCAUGUCCCCUUCUCAAAGGUUUUACUCUUUUUAGACAGACACUUAACUAUUAUUCAUUAUGCGUUCUCCCUUACAAUAACAGCAGUCUUCGUCAUGACUUAAGAACUGCAUGGCAACGUGUUCGGGACACACUUUAAAAAUGGACGUAAAUGAAGUACAAAAUGAAAGCAUAAUAAUUAGUGAUAAUAUUACUAAUGCUGGCAAUGUUACAAACAUUGGAAGACUAUCGGAAGCACAGUGGGUUAAUAUUAUUUAUUUUGUUUUAUUAGUUUGUGGCAGUGUUGUUAAUCUAGUUCACAUUUUGGCGUUAAUAAGAAGCAAACGCAGUGGUAUUUUAUCUCUGGUACUGCAAAUAUCAGUAGUAGAUAUUUGUCUACUUUAUGUGGCAGUCAACGAAGUCCUUGCACUCUAUCAUAAAAGCUGGUAUUUUCCACCUGAAUUUUGUCCAUUCUUCAAGGGAGCAGAAGUACUGUUGAAUACACUAACGAUCUACCUGCUGAUAUGUUACAAUUUCCAUGUGAUUUCACUCUGGAAUCUUCAUGAGCUGGAACUCAAGAAAAAUAACAAAAAUCCCCUCACAUCGUGUAAUGCCAACAGUGACGAUUCCAACGAAUGUCUUGUAACGAAACAAGAAAAUCGUUUAGUGACUAUCGAUUAUAGAAAACGGAAGGACGACAUCUCCGUCAUUUUCCCCACAAUUUUUAUAUGGAUUGUUAGUUUAUCACUUAGUAUUCCUAAUUUUACAUUAUCAUCAACGCUUAAACUUAAAAAUAGUUAUGUACUUUGUGCUGUUAUAGAUGUAUAUUAUGGACAAGUGUUACAAUAUUCGUUACUUAUUUUUAAAGUAGUUUUACCGAUCGUACUCUUAUUUCUUAGUCUGAUUGUUCUGACCAUAAAGUUAACCCAAACAUCGAAAACUGAUAUUGACAAUAUUUUGACCAAAAAAAUGAAUGAGAUUAGAAGGCUUGUAAUUUUUGGAAUAGUGGUGACAGUCUUGUAUUUUUUAACUUCUUUCCAACGGCAUUUUUUACAUUUUGUUCAUAUUAUUUCAUGUUCAUUUAAUAAAAGCACUGUGAAUAAUUUUAAAAUGCCACCACUGUCUAACAUUUUUCUCAGUACGUCCAACAUGAUGUAUCUUGCGAUCUUACAUUAUAGUGGUACUGCCAUUAGACCGUUAUUGUGUCUUAUAGUUUUGCCCAAAUUCCCACAUCUAGUUAGAACAAAAAUCUUUCCUUGUUGUAUACUUAAAAAAUAAAACAAUGUAUAAAUUAAGAA